This 496-nucleotide ribosomal RNA is filed under the name uncultured Glomus. Its description in RNAcentral is "SSU rRNA". It matches the Rfam family "Eukaryotic small subunit ribosomal RNA", at positions 569 to 1070 of the family's 1831-position model. Lineage: Eukaryota; Fungi; Glomeromycota; Glomeromycetes; Glomerales; Glomeraceae. The record is from RNAcentral.
AGUAGCCGCGGUAAUUCCAGCUCCAAUAGCGUAUAUUAAAGUUGUUGCAGUUAAAAAGCUCGUAGUUGAAUUUCGGGAUCAAAUUGUCGGUCGUGCUUCGGUACGAACUGGUAUUAUUGGUUCCUACCUUCUGAAGAACCGCGAUGUCAUUAAUUUGGUGUCGUGGGGAAUCAGGACUGUUACUUUGAAAAAAUUAGAGUGUUUAAAGCAGGCUUACGCUUGAAUACAUUAGCAUGGAAUAAUGAAAUAGGACGUUUGAUUCUAUUUUGUUGGUUUCUAGGAUUGACGUAAUGAUUAAUAGGGAUAGUUGGGGGCAUUAGUAUUCAAUUGUCAGAGGUGAAAUUCUUGGAUUUAUUGAAGACUAACUACUGCGAAAGCAUUUGCCAAGGAUGUUUUCAUUAAUCAAGAACGAAAGUUAGGGGAUCGAAGACGAUCAGAUACCGUCGUAGUCUUAACCAUAAACUAUGCCGACUAGGGAUCGGAUGAUGUUAAUUUU